CACGUAGGGCGCAAGCGUUGUCCGGAAUUACUGGGCGUAAAGCGUGCGCAGGCGGUUCUCCAAGUCCGUUGUGAAAGCCCCGGGCUCAACCUGGGAAUGGCAGUGGAAACUAGGGGACUUGAAUCUGGCAGAGGGGGGUGGAAUUCCACGUGUAGCAGUGAAAUGCGUAGAGAUGUGGAGGAACACCGAUGGCGAAGGCAGCCCCCUGGGCUGAGAUUGACGCUCAGGCACGAAAGCGUGGGGAGCAAACAGG
RNAcentral lists this ribosomal RNA (253 nucleotides) under uncultured bacterium. Its description in RNAcentral is "partial 16S ribosomal RNA". It matches the Rfam family "Bacterial small subunit ribosomal RNA", at positions 524 to 776 of the family's 1533-position model. The record is from RNAcentral.